UUCACUCUGAUGUCCUCUCUUUAAGGUCUGCAAAGCAAAGCAAAAGAAGCUGUCUGAGGAAAUUUACUUGCAGUGAUUAAUGUAAAAAUAGAUCAACAGGAAAACACUUAAUUUUCUUUGGGAUGGGGAUGAAAGCAAUGGUUCUUGAUGUUGGCUGCAGAGUAGAAUCAUUAGGAGAGUUGUGAAAACUCCUAUUGCCUUGUUUCCUCCUUUUUGAGUAGUCAUCUAACUGGUCUAACAUAAGGAAGGAGGAUUUCUGAAUGCUCCUCAGUGAUUCAGAUGUGCAACCAAGGUUGAAAUCACUAGAAGGGACAGCUAAAAAGCUUGAAGUUUUAAUAGUUUUUAUUCUACCACAGUUGCAUUCAUUUUUAGAAGGAGUUUUUAAAAACAGCCAAUAUGCUUUCCAGGAACUUCUGUUCAUGCUUCACAAAAGUAGACUUUUCUAGUUCUCACAACCCCACAAGAAUUUUCUUAUUAUUUUAACCAUUGGAAAGAUAAGGAAAUUGAGACAUAGGGUUUGAAUAACUUGCCCAAGGCCACAUUGCUAGUAAACAGAAGAGCUGACAUUUAAACUCAGGUUUGGCUCCAAAGUCCUCUAUUUUGUUACAAAACCUCUUGUUUGUUUGCUGAGUCAUAAGGGAGGUAACAAUCUGGCUGCUUUCAACAUUGUCAGCACACAGGUAAAGAACUUCUUGUUAUUUCAGGGUCUCCAAAAACCAAGUUUAUGUCCUAAUAAGGGAAAAAAGAAGGGAGGGAGGGAAAAAACUGUUUAUAUAGUAAGAGCAGAAAGAAAAGUCAUAAAAUAAUCCUUCCCAAAAGAGAAUUAUAUAUCUUUAAAAAUAAAUGAAAUUUAAGCACCAUAAGGAAAAAUCACUAGAAAUAUAAAAUACAUUAAUCUCCCAACUAAAUAUGUUUACAGAAAAUUUGGAAAAGAUGUGAUCACCACAGUGACUUAGAAGGAACUGCCUAAGACAGCCUGGGCUUCUUUCUCUCCUCUGAAAGCAAGAUGUCCUUCAAGGCUUUUCGCAGUGAGUCAUAUUGUCCCUGAGGUAUAUAACAUACAGUGGCUUCCCUUCAGGGUCCCUAAGCUCCAGAGCUAGGGAGGUACACAAGUUGAGACUCUAUCUGCCUCAGGCAGCUUCCUGAGCCAUGGAAAACCAGUUCACAAUGGAGCCUAGACUUCUUUUGUCCAUUGCUGCCUAACUAUAAGUAAUUCAUCUGCUUUUCAUAACUUGUUGCGUUUUGAGAGUGUUUUUCUCUCACCAGACUCAGGCAAUUGGUAAAACUACAGCUUAAUGCACUGGAAGGAAGUAUUUGGACUCCUGUUUUGGGUGAAUGAUAGUAGCAGAGGCCUGGAAGCAUAACACCUUUGUUAGACUUUCUCAAGCUGUGGCCACCUUGGAAAAUUUGACAUUGUGUUGAAUUUGUCAUUCAAGACCUCAUUCUGUCACCGACCAGAGUAACCUCCUUGUCCUGCUAGUGGUCAACUAUGUCAGCAUAGUGAACACAGUGGAUCCUAAGCUGCUUUUAUCCCUCUAUGCCAUCUUUAAGUUAUAAACCUACUUACUAUAA
This is a non-coding RNA of Ictidomys tridecemlineatus (thirteen-lined ground squirrel), 1572 nucleotides long. The record is from RefSeq and is a predicted model, not a curated record. Lineage: Eukaryota; Metazoa; Chordata; Mammalia; Rodentia; Sciuridae.